UUUGUUGCCAGCGGUCCGGCCGGGAACUCAAAGGAGACUGCCAGUGAUAAACUGGAGGAAGGUGGGGAUGACGUCAAGUCAUCAUGGCCCUUACGACCAGGGCUACACACGUGCUACAAUGGCAUAUACAAAGAGAAGCGACCUCGCGAGAGCAAGCGGACCUCAUAAAGUAUGUCGUAGUCCGGAUCGGAGUCUGCAACUCGACUCCGUGAAGUCGGAAUCGCUAGUAAUCGUGGAUCAGAAUGCCACGGUGAAUACGUUCCCGGGCCUUGUACACACCGCCCGUCACACCAUGGGAGUGGGUUGCAAAAGAAGUAGGUAGCUUAACCUUCGGGAGGGCGCUUACCAC
Molecule: ribosomal RNA, 349 nt
Filed under: uncultured Gammaproteobacteria bacterium
Lineage: Bacteria; Pseudomonadati; Pseudomonadota; Gammaproteobacteria
Description: bacterial SSU rRNA
Rfam family: Bacterial small subunit ribosomal RNA
Source: RNAcentral